UUCACCAACAAUUCACUUUUUGGUAUAGACAAGAAAGCUUUUAGAGUGUCGAUAUCUCGAAAAACUAGAAGAUUUUCAAAAAAUCGUCUUGGGCAAAGCAUAGAACAUUUUUGAAAAUAUUUUUUUUGGUCUUAAAAUUUUCUUUAGACUUCGCUGAGUCGGAUCAGCUAGGUCCAGAAGUUCGGAUGGAAAAUAUUCAAAAAUCGACCGACCCUAAUGGUCAUUUCGAUUUUAUGU
This is a long non-coding RNA of Bradysia coprophila, 237 nucleotides long. Lineage: Eukaryota; Metazoa; Arthropoda; Insecta; Diptera; Sciaridae. The record is from RefSeq and is a predicted model, not a curated record.